Non-coding RNA from Vicia faba (fava bean), 322 nucleotides. The record is from the annotation of a GenBank genome assembly. NCBI's taxonomy places the organism in Eukaryota, Viridiplantae, Streptophyta, Magnoliopsida, Fabales, Fabaceae.
AAAAAACAACUUUUUAAAAUCCUUUAUAUUUCCAAAAUCCAUCAUAAACCAGACACUAAUCAAAGGUUUCAAACAUAAAAAACAAACAACAUAUUCAAGUGCUUUUCCUCUUACAUUCAUUCCUUCCACAUAUUCUUCUCUCUCUCUCUCUCUCUCUCUCUCUCUCUCUCUCUCUCUCUCUCUCUCUCUGCAUAAUCAAUUACACCCAUCAUCCUUCCUUUACCCACGCCUGCUUAAUUUGUGGCGCAUGCUAUGCCUCAUUUUGCCUAUGUUUGAAUUUUCUGUAACACUCUCUGACUUCUCCACUAUCUCUUUUUUAUAA